Molecule: ribosomal RNA, 253 nt
Filed under: uncultured bacterium
Lineage: Bacteria
Description: partial 16S ribosomal RNA
Rfam family: Bacterial small subunit ribosomal RNA
Source: RNAcentral
UACGGAGGGCGCAAGCGUUGUCCGGAAUUAUUGGGCGUAAAGAGCUCGUAGGCGGCCAGUUGCGUCCGCUGUGAAAUCCCGGGGCUUAACCCCGGGCGUGCAGUGGAUACGGGCUGGCUGGAGGCAGGCAGGGGAGAACGGAAUUCCUGGUGUAGCGGUGAAAUGCGCAGAUAUCAGGAGGAACACCGGUGGCGAAGGCGGUUCUCUGGGCCUGUACUGACGCUGAGGAGCGAAAGCGUGGGGAGCGAACAGG